RNAcentral lists this long non-coding RNA (338 nucleotides) under Piliocolobus tephrosceles (Ugandan red Colobus). Its description in RNAcentral is "lncRNA (ENSPTEG00000038863.1)". The record is from RNAcentral. Lineage: Eukaryota; Metazoa; Chordata; Mammalia; Primates; Cercopithecidae.
AUGGUCGAUGCUUCUGAGCAACAUAGGCCCACAUGGAUUCCAUGUGGCCUGGCAUCCACUGUGCACCCUGUGCUGGCGGGUGGCUCAGGAUGGAGUAGUUGCCUUGCGAUGCCCACUGCCUGCUGGCACAGCAGAUGGUCAGUUCUUCUGAGCAGUGGAGUCCCCACGGAGUCGUGGAGUCGGUGUGGCCUGGCAUCCACGGUGUACCCUGUGCUGGUGGAUGGCUCAGGACGGUAAGCAUUCCUCUGUCCCACAUGCUGCGUGAGGGUGUCUUUAGGAUUUCUGAGACCCACAGGGAGCGGGUCUUCAGGCCAUUAAGGGCAUGGCCAAGGCCUUUA